GAUGAAGAACGCAGCGAAAUGCGAUAAGUAAUGUGAAUUGCAGAAUUCAGUGAAUCAUCGAAUCUUUGAACGCACAUUGCGCCCGCCAGUAUUCUGGCGGGCAUGCCUGUCCGAGCGUCAUUUCAACCCUCGAACCCCUCCGGGGGGUCGGCGUUGGGGAUCGGCCCUUUACGGGGCCGGCCCCGAAAUACAGUGGCGGUCUCGCCGCAGCCUCUCCUGCGCAGUGGUUUGCACACUCGCAUCGGGAGCGCGGCGCGUCCACAGCCGUUAAACACCCCAAACUUCUGAAAUGUUGACCUCGGAUCAGGUAGGAAUACCCGCUGAACUUAAGCAUAUCAAUAAGCGGAGGA
RNAcentral lists this unclassified non-coding RNA (350 nucleotides) under soil metagenome. Its description in RNAcentral is "partial contains 5.8S ribosomal RNA, internal transcribed spacer 2, and large subunit ribosomal RNA". The stretch from base 1 to 120 matches the Rfam family "5.8S ribosomal RNA", at positions 35 to 154 of the family's 154-position model. The record is from RNAcentral.